GACGAACGCUGGCGGCGUGCUUAACACAUGCAAGUCGAACGGUAAGGCCCUUCGGGGUACACGAGUGGCGAACGGGUGAGUAACACGUGGGUGAUCUGCCCUGCACUUCGGGAUAAGCCUGGGAACCUGGGUCUAAUACCGGAUAGGACCAUUGCCUGCAUGGGUGGUGGUGGAAAGCUUUUGCGGUGUGGGAUGGGCCCGCGGCCUAUCGACUUGUUGGUGGGGUGAUGGCCUACCAAGGCGACGAAGGGUAGCCGGCCUGAGAGGGUGACCGGCCACACUGGGACUGAGAUACAGCCCAGACUCCUACGAGAGGCAGCGGUGGGGAAUAUUGCACAAGGGGCGCAAGCCUGAUGCAGCGGCGCCGCGUGAGGGAUGACGGCCUUCGGGUUGUAAACCUCUUUCAGCACCGACGAAGCGCAAGUGACGGUAGGUGCAGAAGAAGGACCGGCCAACUACGUGCCAGCAGCCGCGGUAA
Molecule: ribosomal RNA, 478 nt
Filed under: uncultured bacterium
Lineage: Bacteria
Description: partial 16S ribosomal RNA
Rfam family: Bacterial small subunit ribosomal RNA
Source: RNAcentral